This 578-nucleotide small RNA is filed under the name bovine gut metagenome. The record is from RNAcentral.
UGUAUUGGCGCAUUAUUCUAGUCAAUUACAUUUAUUAUGAAGACGGGAUUAAACAACCGUACAUUAGCACAUCUGUGAAGCUUUUGGUGCUUGCUUCUUACGCCCAGUUUGGGGUGAGUGCUGGAAGAUAGAAUGUUGGGCGCUCGUAAUGGCAUACGAUUCCGACCCACCAUUCGUGGAGACCUACUUUUGUAUUUGGCCUAUACGUAUCAACUGAUGGACCAGAUAUGACUUAGGAUUAAACCUAUUUGUGGCGAAAGUUAUGAAUAGAGUAGCUUGCCUUGAGUGAGUUGUGGGGAUUAAUGAUCAGCUUAUAUUGAUCUAGCUAAUCAAUAUAAGUAUCGCAUUAUGAAACAUAGUUUGCAAAAAAGACUAAUAAUAAAUGGUUGGUGAGGAAAGCUCCUAGAGUGAAUUAAUAUGAGAUUACAGUACGUACUAAGUGGUAAUCAAGUCGUAUAAACGGUGACGUUAUAUCAUUAUCUUUAAAGGGGAACCGCAAACUGGUAACGGAAUGUAGAUAAUGGGGAAAACCAACUUGACCUAUGACGUAAAGUUAAUCAUGUUAAAGGCCAUAAAAU